UUUAUUGAAAUAGCGUUAGUA
RNAcentral lists this non-coding RNA (21 nucleotides) under Caenorhabditis elegans. The record is from RNAcentral. Lineage: Eukaryota; Metazoa; Nematoda; Chromadorea; Rhabditida; Rhabditidae.